CCCCUCUCAGGGUCGUACCUGGAGAGUUUCCAGUACUCUAUCAGUCUUGACUACAGGAGGGAGAGUCAAGCAAAGGCAUACCUAUUCUAUUUCUAGCUUGGUCAGUGGCUAGCGAGUGGAAGGCAAUCUGCUACAAGU
Molecule: non-coding RNA, 138 nt
Organism: Ornithorhynchus anatinus (platypus)
Lineage: Eukaryota; Metazoa; Chordata; Mammalia; Monotremata; Ornithorhynchidae
Source: Rfam